This 206-nucleotide ribosomal RNA is filed under the name uncultured bacterium. RNAcentral describes it as "partial 16S ribosomal RNA". It matches the Rfam family "Bacterial small subunit ribosomal RNA", at positions 568 to 774 of the family's 1533-position model. The record is from RNAcentral.
UGCGUAGGCGGUUUUUAAGUCAGAUGUGAAAUCCUGUGGCUCAACCACAGAACUGCAUCUGAUACUGGAUUACUGGAGUGCGGAAGAGGUUGACGGAAUUACUAGUGUAGCGGUAGAAUGCGUAGAUAUUAGUAAGAAGACCGGUGGCGAAGGCGGUCAACUGGGACGUAACUGACGCUGAGGCACGAAAGCGUGGGGAGCAAACA